UACGUAGGGUGCGAGCGUUGUCCGGAAUCAUUGGGCGUAAAGAGCGUGUAGGCCGGCUCGCUAAGUCUUGCGUGAAAUCUCGGGGCUCAACCCCGAGCGGUCGUGAGAAACUGGCGGGCUAGAGUGCGGGAGAGGAGAGUGGAAUUCCUGGUGUAGCGGUGAAAUGCGCAGAUAUCAGGAAGAACACCCGUGGCGAAGGCGGCUCUCGUGGGACGGUACUGACGCUGAGACGCGAAAGCGUGGGGAGCGAACAGG
This 255-nucleotide ribosomal RNA is filed under the name uncultured bacterium. RNAcentral's name for it is "partial 16S ribosomal RNA". It matches the Rfam family "Bacterial small subunit ribosomal RNA", at positions 524 to 776 of the family's 1533-position model. The record is from RNAcentral.